This 490-nucleotide ribosomal RNA is filed under the name uncultured bacterium. Its description in RNAcentral is "partial 16S ribosomal RNA". It matches the Rfam family "Bacterial small subunit ribosomal RNA", at positions 30 to 507 of the family's 1533-position model. The record is from RNAcentral.
AUUGAACGCUGGCGGCAGGCCUAACACAUGCAAGUCGAACGGUAACAGGGAUCAGCUUGCUGAUUCGCUGACGAGUGGCGGACGUGUGAGUAAUGUCUGGGACACUGCCUGCUGGAGGGGGAUAACUACUGGAAACGGUAGCUAAUACCGCAUAACGUCGCAAGACCAAAGAGGUGGACCUUCGGGCCUCUUUCCAUCGGAUGUGCCCAGAUGGGAUUAGCUAGUAGGUGGGGUAACGGCUCACCUAGGCGACGAUCCCUAGCUGGUCUGAGAGGAUGACCAGCCACACGGGAACUGAGACACGGACCAGGCUCCUACGGGAGGCAGCAGUGGGGAAUAUUGCACAAUGGGCGCAAGCCUGAUGCAGCCAUGCCGCGUGUAUGAAGAAGGCCUUCGGGUUGUAAAGUACUUUCAGCGGGGAGGAAGGGAGUAAAGUUAAUACCUUGGCUCAUUGACGUUACCCGCAGAAGAAGCACCGGCUAACUCCGUG